Methyloprofundus sedimenti is the source of this 233-nucleotide non-coding RNA. Lineage: Bacteria; Pseudomonadati; Pseudomonadota; Gammaproteobacteria; Methylococcales; Methylococcaceae. The record is from Rfam.
AAAGUCUCUCUCUGGCAAGGUAGGUCAACCACCAGAUAGUUAACAUCGGGCAGGCGGAGGAAACUCCAAAUGUUAAGCACGAUGGGCACAAGCCAGCAGGCCGUAUGCGAAAGUUGAAAUGAUUUAGCCUCGAAAUGAUUUUACGUAAGCAGGACGACAGAGUUCCCCUUCUGAAGUCCCCAUUCUAUGACGCGCAUGACAAGUAUCAUAGAGCUGCUUCGGGGUUGUAAGCA